RNAcentral lists this small nuclear RNA (103 nucleotides) under Capra hircus (goat). Lineage: Eukaryota; Metazoa; Chordata; Mammalia; Artiodactyla; Bovidae. The record is from RNAcentral.
UUGCUUCAGCAGCACAUGCAAUGAGGUUAGAAUGCUCCACAGAAUCUUAGCAUGGCCGCUCUGUAAGGAUGAUAUGUUAAUUUCUGCAGAUAUAUUUUAUUAA